Molecule: ribosomal RNA, 253 nt
Filed under: uncultured bacterium
Lineage: Bacteria
Description: partial 16S ribosomal RNA
Rfam family: Bacterial small subunit ribosomal RNA
Source: RNAcentral
UACGGAGGAUGCAAGCGUUAUCAGGAAUGAUUGGGCGUAAAGGGUCCGUAGGUGGUGAUGUAUGUCUAUUGUCAAAGGUUCUGGCUUAACCAGAGACAGGCAGUAGAAACUGCAAAACUAGAGUGCAGUCGGGGCAGGGGGAAUUCCUGGUGUAGCGGUGAAAUGCGUAGAGUUCAGGAAGAAUACCGGUGGCGAAAGCGCCCUGCUAGGCUGUGACUGACACUGAGGGACGAAAGCUAGGUGAGCGAAUGGG